AUGGUAGACAGAAUCGCGAUCCAACUCGUAGGAUCGGAUGAGUCUGCGAUCUUGCAGCACUCUUCCGUGCCGGAAUAUGGCCGGAAUCGGUUUUUAGUGGGCACGGCCAGGAUCGCCGCUAUUACACGUGGAAUCGCUGGAAUCGGUGCUUCUGGACGUUUCUGUCAGAUCCCCAAGAAUUCGGGUUCGCGGGUCGGGUCUGCAACCCGGUUCAGAAGAAACCCAACAAAAAAAAAUUCAGUUCUUUUUUUUUCUUCUUAA
Molecule: non-coding RNA, 261 nt
Organism: Vicia faba (fava bean)
Lineage: Eukaryota; Viridiplantae; Streptophyta; Magnoliopsida; Fabales; Fabaceae
Source: the annotation of a GenBank genome assembly